AGAUAGUGACUAGUGUCACAAUCCCAGCAGAGGUGGUGGGUGUAACUACGGAGGUGGUGGCUGGUGCCACAGUCCCAGCAACAGUGGCAGAUGUAGCUGUGGAGGUGGCUAGUGUCACAGUCGCAGCAGUGGUGGCACAUAUCGUUCUUGGAUGUGACAUUAGAAAUAAGAAGUGAAACCUGUUGAGUAAUGUCGGUCUUCUAGUGAAAGCCACUAGUGGGGCCACACAUGAAGAGACUGGAAACAAAGAACACUAACGAGCUAUUGGACCCAGGGCAGAGAAAAGAUCAGCGCUGACUUUAAGGAUUUUACCUGAAAUAAGGACUAGGGUGAGGAAUUAUGAUCUGUAACAAUCUCUUGCAGUGUACAAGUCUCAGCUGGUGUGUUCUGGAACUUACCAGUCUGUUAUCACUGGCAAACACUUAA
This is a non-coding RNA of Pelodiscus sinensis (Chinese soft-shelled turtle), 426 nucleotides long. NCBI's taxonomy places the organism in Eukaryota, Metazoa, Chordata, Testudines, Trionychidae. The record is from RefSeq and is a predicted model, not a curated record.